UGUAAACAUCCUACACUCUCGGCGUCCGCCCCCUGGUGGCCGGGGGUGGGACUGUUUGCACU
Molecule: microRNA precursor, 62 nt
Filed under: Tetraodon nigroviridis (spotted green pufferfish)
Lineage: Eukaryota; Metazoa; Chordata; Actinopteri; Tetraodontiformes; Tetraodontidae
Description: Tni-Mir-30-P2b_pre stem-loop
Source: RNAcentral